Molecule: ribosomal RNA, 450 nt
Filed under: uncultured Glomeromycotina
Lineage: Eukaryota; Fungi; Glomeromycota
Description: SSU rRNA
Rfam family: Eukaryotic small subunit ribosomal RNA
Source: RNAcentral
AGCAGCCGCGGUAAUUCCAGCUCCAAUAGCGUAUAUUAAAGUUGUUGCAGUUAAAAAGCUCGUAGUUGAAUUUCGGGAUUGGCGCAUCGGUCGUGCCUCACGGGGUAUGAACUGGUGCAGUCAAUUUCUCACCUUCUGGAGAACCGCGAUGUCCUUAAUUGGAUGCCGCGGGGAACCCAGGACCUUUACUUUGAAAAAAUUAGAGUGUUUAAAGCAGGCAUUUUUGCUUGAAUACAUUAGCAUGGAAUAAUAAAAUAGGACGGCAUGGUUCUAUUUUGUUGGUUUCUAGGACCACCGUAAUGAUUAAUAGGGAUAGUUGGGGGCAUUAGUAUUCAAUUGUCAGAGGUGAAAUUCUUGGAUUUAUUGAAGACUAACUACUGCGAAAGCAUUUGCCAAGGAUGUUUUCAUUAAUCAAGAACGAAAGUUAGGGGAUCGAAGACGAUCAGAUAC